UACGGGGGGGGCAAGCGUUGUUCGGAAUUACUGGGCGUAAAGGGCCCGUAGGCGGCCAACUAAGUCGGAUGUGAAAUCCCCAGGCUCAACUUGGGAACUGCAUCCGAUACUGGAUGGCUUGAAUUCGGGAGAGGGAUGCAGAAUUCCAGGUGUAGCGGUGAAAUUCGUAGAUAUCAGGAGGAACACCGGUGGCGAAGGCGGCUUUCUGGACAAUUACUGACGCUGAGACGCGAAAGCAUGGGGAGCAAACAGG
This 253-nucleotide ribosomal RNA is filed under the name uncultured bacterium. RNAcentral describes it as "partial 16S ribosomal RNA". It matches the Rfam family "Bacterial small subunit ribosomal RNA", at positions 524 to 776 of the family's 1533-position model. The record is from RNAcentral.